AGCACACCUAAAUUGCACAGAUUGCACCCAGGCAGCCGAAGCACACGCCCCCACCCACACGGCAGACGCCACCAGCACCGUGGAGGCUUUGUGCAGUAAUCUACAGUGGCUGCGAGGUAAUAUUACAGCAUUGAGCGCGAGGAGCCAUAACCACCCCCGAUUGGAACGUAGUUGACCGCGACGAGGAGGACGCAACAUCAACGGGGGCGAGGCACCGACGACCGUCACCUUGAUUGCGGCCAAGAUGGGGGCGAGACGCCGGCCACUCGUUCGCUUCUCCUCCAACCGGUGAUCGAGGUGGAUGAUUCCAGGUGCGGGCACUAGGAUCUCUGCUGUUGGAUCGAGGUGCGGGAGAUUAAAUUCAGUCUCUAACCUCCCGAUCGAGACUCAGACUCUGCUGUUGUAUCAUGUUGGAUCUUGUUCGGGGAUGAGACCGAGGUUCGAGUUCGAUCCUGGCCGACGGGGUGAGACGCAUGCUCUCUAGCCCCCCGCAGGUUUUACUCAUUCGAUCCUGCUGUCGGCCAUCCUCCAAGCGGCGUGGGCAUCAAGUUCGGCUUCAACACCCGCACCAUCCAGAUACACUAUUGCGAGCCAACUGCCCCCAUCAAAUUCGUCCAAGGUCAUCCUGUCUCCUCUCAGAUCUCGUUGGUCUCUCCAUUCUUGGUGCCUGAUUAAGCACAAGAUUAUUAAUAGACACCAUCGCUCUGACGGGAUAUAUGGUAUUGUUGGUUCGAGCGCGUCUCUCGGUCUUUGGUUCAGUGUCAUCUAUGACACCAUCGCUCGGCCGGGCUAUCUGGUGCGAGGAAGCGCCAUCGGAGAACCCAGUCCGCACGAGUAGCCAUGGAGGCGGCUGGCGGGAGUGAUCGUCCGAGCAAGGUGGAUCCAGCAUCCCGGUGUAGAGGCGCCUCAGCGGAGCACCCUGACCCACGUAAGGUCACGGUGGAAUCAUCUCGUCUGGGGAAGCAAUCAUGGUUCUGAUUGUUCAUAUUGAUUUUGAUAGCAGGGGAAUUCACUUUGUACAUGAGGGAAAUUGAGAAGACACUGAAUCAUCUUUACAUGUUCGGUCACAAUAAAACUCUAUUCUGAAUUGACUUCUGAUUUCAAAUGCCCUGCAGGAUGCAGCAGAAGAUAUCCUGCAAGAAUACCAAAAAGGCUGCAGUCGAGAGACAAAGCUGGGAACAUAGGAUGUCCGGAUGCUGACGUAGAGGCUUCUCACUCUGUCCAUUUCUGUUGUCUAGUUCCUUCAGCUGUUUAUGUCAGAAGUGGCAUGUGAUCUUCUGUGAGCAUAUGCCUUUUAAUUGGUUAAGAAAAUUGUACUAAGCAUAAAACUAAGUUUGUUUCUGAAUUGUGACUAUUGAUGAGCUCCAUGAUCUAUGAUAAAGUAUUGCCAGAAGAUGGUUGUAAUCUUGGUAGAAAGAAUGGUAUCCUGAUA
Long non-coding RNA from Triticum urartu, 1432 nucleotides. RefSeq lists it as uncharacterized. The record is from RefSeq and is a predicted model, not a curated record. NCBI's taxonomy places the organism in Eukaryota, Viridiplantae, Streptophyta, Magnoliopsida, Poales, Poaceae.